GAACGCAAAUUGCACUCUCUGGCAACCCGGGGAGUAUGCCUGUUUGAGGGUCAGUGUUAAUAAAAAUCGGGUGCGUUGCAAUUUUUGUGACGUUUCCGGAGUUUGAGUUAUCUUUAAUUAACUUCGGUUUUAAGAGGCUUAAAAUUGACCUUUUUUUGUGCAUUUUAGACGUACAUAAAUUUUUUUUUUAUUCGUCCAUCCUAAUGCCAAAAUCUAUUAGAUGCGACCAUAUCUUGUGGUUCCGUGUCUAUAAAUUUUUCAUGAUUUGACCUCAAAUCAGGUAGGAACACCCGCUGAACUUAAG
This 304-nucleotide unclassified non-coding RNA is filed under the name Rhizophagus intraradices. RNAcentral's name for it is "sequence contains 5.8S rRNA gene". The record is from RNAcentral. Lineage: Eukaryota; Fungi; Glomeromycota; Glomeromycetes; Glomerales; Glomeraceae.